AGAGUUUGAUCAUGGCUCAGAUUGAACGCUGGCGGCAUGCUUUACACAUGCAAGUCGAACGGUAACAGGGAGCUUGCUCCGCUGACGAGUGGCGAACGGGUGAGUAAUAUAUCGGAACGUACCCAAGAGUGGGGGAUAACGUAGCGAAAGUUACGCUAAUACCGCAUACGAUCCAAGGAUGAAAGCAGGGGACCUUCGGGCCUUGUGCUCCUGGAGCGGCCGAUAUCUGAUAAGCUAGUUGGUGAGGUAAAGGCUCACCAAGGCGACGAUCAGUAGCUGGUCUGAGAGGACGACCAGCCACACUGGAACUGAGACACGGUCCAGACUCCUACGGGAGGCAGCAGUGGGGAAUUUUGGACAAUGGGCGCAAGCCUGAUCCAGCAAUGCCGCGUGAGUGAAGAAGGCCUUCGGGUUGUAAAGCUCUUUUGUCAGGGAAGAAACGGCUGUGGCUAAUAUCCACGGCUAAUGACGGUACCUGAAGAAUAAGCACCGGCUAACUACGUGCCAGCAGCCGCGGUAA
RNAcentral lists this ribosomal RNA (520 nucleotides) under uncultured bacterium IAFBC8. Its description in RNAcentral is "bacterial SSU rRNA". It matches the Rfam family "Bacterial small subunit ribosomal RNA", at positions 8 to 523 of the family's 1533-position model. The record is from RNAcentral.